UACCUUGUCCCCCUCUGGUCUUAGUCCCCUAGGGUGUCUUCCCCUAAAGGGGAACCCAAAGGGUUUCCCAAGGGGAGAACCGAAGGGUUCCCNCUUUUUGUUCAUCCCCUUUAGUUCCCCUUUAGGGGAUGAACUAAAGGGGAUGACACCCUUCGGUUCUCCCCAAAGGGGAACCCUUUGGGAACCCUUUGGGAACCCUUUGGUCACCCUUUGGUCACCCUUUGGGCCCCCUUUGGUCACCUUUGGGGAACCUUUGGUCACACGUUGGUCACCCUUUGGUCACCCUUUGGGGACAACCUUUGGGGGACGAAAGAAAAGCUCUUCCCCUUUGGUUUCGUCAAGUUUGGUGGUCUUCCCCUUUGUUCUUCUUCCCCUUCGGGGAUGAACCCCUUCUUCCCCUUUAGUUCUUCCCCUAAAGGGGAACUUUAGGGGUUCCCCUAAAGGGGAAGCCCUCAUCCCCUAAAGGGAACCGAAGGGGUUCCCCUUUAGGGGAUACCAUCAUCCCCUAAAGGGGAACUUUAGGGGAUGAACUAAAGGGGAUGGAAACCAAAGACGUCCCCUAAAGGGGAACCAAAGACACCCAAAGGGGAUAACAACCCCUUUGGUUCCCCUUUUUGUUCCCCAUCCCCUUUAGUUCUUCAUCCCCUAAAGGGGAACUAAAGUUCUUCCCCUUCGUCUUCCCCUUCGGGGAACACUUUAGUGUUCUUCUUCCCCUUUGGUUCCCCUAAAGGGGACGGAGACGUAGGGGUUCCCCUUUAGGGGAAGAACUAAAGGGGACAACCCUAAAGGGGACGAUGAAGAUGACUUUGGUUCUUCCCCUUCGUUUUCACCCCUUUAGUUCUUCCCCUAAAGGGGAACUUUAGGGGGUCCCCUUUAGGGGAAGAACUAAAGGGGACAACCCUAAAGGGGACAACCCUUUAGGGGAUGAUGUUCCCUCUUCGGGGAUGUCGUCUUCCCCUAAAGGGGAAGAAGAAGAACAAGAAGGGGACAAGAAGGGGAACCAAAGGGGGUUGUUAUCCCCUUUGGGUGUCUUUGGUUCCCCUUUAGGGGACGUCUGGUGUCAUCUUCUUUAGUUCAUCCCCUAAAGUUCCCCUUUAGGGGAUGAUGUUAUCCCCUAAAGGGGAACCCCUUCGGUUCCCCUUUAGGGGAUGAGGUCUUCCCCCUUAGUUCUUCCCCUAAAGUUCCCCUUUAGGGGAAGAACUAAGGGGGAAGAAGGGGCUCAUCCCCGAAGGGGAAGAAGAACAAAGGGGACAGACAACCCCUUUGGUUGUCCCCCUUUGGAGCCCAAAGGGUUUUCUGUCUUCUUUGCUCCCCAUCCCCUAAAGGGGAACAAAGAAGACAGUUUCUUCCCCAUCCCCUUUAGUGAAAACGAAGGGGAUGAACAAAGGGGAACCCCUAAAGUUCUUCCCCUAAAGGGGAAGAACUAAAGGGGUGAAAACGAAGGGGAUCCCUAGGGGACGAGCCCUUCCCCUUUUUGUUACCCCAUCCCCUUUAGUUCAUCCCCGAAGGGGAACAUCCCCUAAAGUUCCCCUUUAGGGUAAGAACUAAAGGGGAACUUUAGGGGAAGAACUAAAGGGGAACUUUAGGGGAAGAACUAAAGGGGAACUUUAGGGGAAGAACUAAAGGGGAACUUUAGUGUUCUUCUUCUUCAUCCCCGAAGGGGACCCCUUUGGUUCCCCUAAAGAAGACGAACUAAAGGGGAACUUUAGU
Molecule: long non-coding RNA, 1710 nt
Filed under: Volvox carteri
Lineage: Eukaryota; Viridiplantae; Chlorophyta; Chlorophyceae; Chlamydomonadales; Volvocaceae
Description: long non-coding RNA (VCAR_LNC004338)
Source: RNAcentral